RNAcentral lists this ribosomal RNA (552 nucleotides) under Xenorhina obesa (fat fanged frog). RNAcentral's name for it is "partial 16S ribosomal RNA". It matches the Rfam family "Bacterial large subunit ribosomal RNA", at positions 1829 to 2597 of the family's 2925-position model. Lineage: Eukaryota; Metazoa; Chordata; Amphibia; Anura; Microhylidae. The record is from RNAcentral.
CGCCUUUUGACAACCAAUUAAAGGUCCAGCCUGCCCAGUGAAACUUAAACGGCCGCGGUAUCUUAACCGUGCAAAGGUAGCAUAAUCACUUGUUCUUUAAAUAAGGACUAGUAUGAACGGCACCACGAGAGUUAUACUGUCUCCCUCUUUUAAUCAGUGAAACUAAUCUCCCCGUGAAGAAGCGGGGAUAAACCUAUAAGACGAGAAGACCCCAUGGAGCUUAAAACGAACAUCACCUUGCAACACCUACACCACCUAAACACGCAAGCCUGACUACUAAGUUUUUGGUUGGGGCGACCGCGGAGUAAAACCAAACCUCCACGAUGAAAGGAAAUAAACCCCUAAUCUAAGAGACACCCCUCACAGAAUCAAAACAUUGACUAAAAUUGACCCAAUACAAUUGAACAACGAACCAAGUUACCCUGGGGAUAACAGCGCAAUCCAUUUUUAGAGCCCCUAUCGACAAAUGGGUUUACGACCUCGAUGUUGGAUCAGGGUAUCCCAGCGGCGCAGCCACUGCUAAAGGUUCGUUUGUUCAACGAUCAAAACCCU